Long non-coding RNA from Diceros bicornis minor, 788 nucleotides. RefSeq lists it as uncharacterized. The transcript is spliced from 4 exons. NCBI's taxonomy places the organism in Eukaryota, Metazoa, Chordata, Mammalia, Perissodactyla, Rhinocerotidae. The record is from RefSeq and is a predicted model, not a curated record.
UUUCUGGAUCCUUCUUCCAGGAUUUUCAGCCCUGGGGAGCUCUCCUUUCUGUAGUGUGAAGGAACGCUGGGCAGGAGCGGCGCCAAGAAGAAUUCUCUGCUUCCCCAGAAGAUGAGACAGGGAGCAGCUGGGACUGGGUUCUGACCAAGGAAGGAAGGAUGCUGAGGGCCCAGCUGACUCCCCUCCACUGGCUCCUUCCCCUGAUCCGUGGCCCUGAUGGGGCAACAGCGCUGGGGACUCCUGCAGGUGACAACUCUCAAGUGUUUGCCCACGGGACCUGAGAAGAGGAACUUGGCACAGCCUGCGCCCCUCGCAUACCUCUCUCAUGGGCCCUUCUUUCUCUGGCCGCUAUGGGAGCCCUGCGGCCUUGGGUUUAACCCAUGAGGCCAAGGGCACAUGCACAGCCACCAGGGUGUCUCCAUCAAUCAGCGUUGAAGUGGAACUGAGUACAUGCUUUUCAGAAGCAACAUCAUUCUCUACUCAGCCAGAGCAUUGGGCCUGACAAUAGCUGGAUCCAGCAGAAAACUGGACACUCUAGGAGAUGUCACGUGGAGUUGUGCCUGGCUGGACUAAUAGUCACGUGGAUAUGAUUUUUAAAAAAAUCUCUCAGAGCUUUCCUAAAAUCAAAUAAUAUUCUUCAGUUGCUUUAGUAGACGAGACAUUAGUUAGUGUCUUUUUAAUUUCCACAGAAGCUUUUUUUAUGUUACUAAAGAAACUAAACAUUAUGUCUUUUUUCUUGUUACCAAAAUGGACUUCGUAUUAAAAACAAGAAACCUACAAGAAAGGAA